RNAcentral lists this ribosomal RNA (303 nucleotides) under uncultured bacterium. Its description in RNAcentral is "partial 16S ribosomal RNA". It matches the Rfam family "Bacterial small subunit ribosomal RNA", at positions 507 to 809 of the family's 1533-position model. The record is from RNAcentral.
AGCAGUCGCCGCGGGAAAACAGAGGAUGCAAGCGUUAUCCGGAAUGAUUGGGCGUAAAGCGUCUGUAGGUGGCCAUUUAAGUCCGCUGUGAAAGCCAAAGGCUCAACCUUUGAAAGCCGGUGGAUACUGGAUGGCUAGAGUACGGAAGAGGCGAGUGGAAUUCCUGGUGUAGCGGUGGAAUGCGCAGAUAUCAGGAGGAACACCAAUAGCGAAGGCAGCUCGCUGGGACGUUACUGACACUGAGGCGCGAAAGCGUGGGGAGCGAACAGGAUUAGAUACCCCUGUAGUCCCUGUCUCUUAUAA